RNAcentral lists this ribosomal RNA (468 nucleotides) under uncultured bacterium. RNAcentral's name for it is "partial 16S ribosomal RNA". It matches the Rfam family "Bacterial small subunit ribosomal RNA", at positions 28 to 507 of the family's 1533-position model. The record is from RNAcentral.
GACGAACGCUGGCGGCGUGCUUAACACAUGCAAGUCGAACGGAAAGGCCCUGCUUUUGUGGGGUGCUCGAGUGGCGAACGGGUGAGUAACACGUGAGUAACCUGCCCUUGACUUUGGGAUAACUUCAGGAAACUGGGGCUAAUACCGGAUAGGAGCUCCUGCUGCAUGGUGGGGGUUGGAAAGUUUCGGCGGUUGGGGAUGGACUCGCGGCUUAUCAGCUUGUUGGUGGGGUAGUGGCUUACCAAGGCUUUGACGGGUGGCCGGCCUGAGAGGGUGACCGGCGACAUUGGGACUGAGAUACGGCCCAGACUCCUACGGGAGGCAGCAGUGGGGAAUAUUGCACAAUGGGCGGAAGCCUGAUGCAGCAACGCCGCGUGCGGGAUGACGGCCUUCGGGUUGUAAACCGAUUUCGCCUGUGACGAAGCGUGAGUGACGGUAAUGGGUAAAGAAGCACCGGCUAACUACGUG